This 253-nucleotide ribosomal RNA is filed under the name uncultured bacterium. RNAcentral's name for it is "partial 16S ribosomal RNA". It matches the Rfam family "Bacterial small subunit ribosomal RNA", at positions 524 to 776 of the family's 1533-position model. The record is from RNAcentral.
UACGGAGGGGGCUAGCGUUGUUCGGAAUUACUGGGCGUAAAGCGCACGUAGGCGGCUUUGUAAGUUAGAGGUGAAAGCCCAGGGCUCAACCCUGGAAUUGCCUUUAAGACUGCAUCGCUUGAACAUCGGAGAGGUAAGUGGAAUUCCGAGUGUAGAGGUGAAAUUCGUAGAUAUUCGGAAGAACACCAGUGGCGAAGGCGACUUACUGGACGAUUGUUGACGCUGAGGUGCGAAAGCUAGGGGAGCAAACGGG